GGGAGAGAGGAGAAAAAGCAAAGAGAGGAGAGAGAGAUGAGAAGCACAGUGAUUGUGCGGUGUUUGUGACAUCAGCAGGACGAGCUACAAAGAGGGGUGUGACAGGAGACCAUGGAAGAGGCAGUAGGUCUUCAGUGACUAUAUAUAUGAGGCACACAUCUCAUAAGGACCAUGGCUCAGGAGAGCAUGCAGCAGAGUGCAGAGCAGCUGAGUCUGAGCUUUGAGUAGGCUGAAGGCAGCUUCAGAGGCAGCACAGCAUGUUCAGAAAUCUGCAGUGUGGAAGAGAUGCACAACAGCUUCCACCUCAACUGCCUGCAGACCUGACCCUGUCUGCUCUUUGGCAAAAUACCAAAGCACUGAUGUUUCAAAAGGCACAAUCUUUAAGCAAGAAAAGAACUACUUAUGGCAUGAAAACUGAUUCCUAUUGUAACUUCAGUAUUCUCAAGCUCCUCAGUCACUCUGCAUCCCAUUUCACUGUGACUCCAAGACAAUUCAACCUCUGUGGAAGAUGUGUGGGCAUACUGAAGCACAGGAGAGAGAAUCAGGCCUACGUUAUUUCCACUGAGUCUUCUCUCUGA
RNAcentral lists this long non-coding RNA (578 nucleotides) under Phasianus colchicus (ring-necked pheasant). RNAcentral's name for it is "lncRNA (ENSPCLG00000021120.1)". Lineage: Eukaryota; Metazoa; Chordata; Aves; Galliformes; Phasianidae. The record is from RNAcentral.